This 296-nucleotide long non-coding RNA is filed under the name Medicago truncatula (barrel medic). RNAcentral's name for it is "long non-coding RNA (MTRU_LNC004204)". The record is from RNAcentral. Lineage: Eukaryota; Viridiplantae; Streptophyta; Magnoliopsida; Fabales; Fabaceae.
AUCCUAUCAAAACAUCAUGAUUCUUAACUAGGUCAGCUUUGAUCUUCGCUCCGGUUUUUAAAACCAUCCUGUCAGUUUCAGGUUUUGGCUUGUCAAGCCAUGCUUUACCAGCAGUAUUAACUAUAGUAUCUUCCCUCUGAUAAUCGCGGGUUCCAUAUUGCUGAACGACUUCAGGCUUUGAAAUUGGAGGAUUCUUCUUUGUAUGCAGAUCACUGACAACGGUGUGCUGGGGGGGUUUUGGCAGCUCUUGCCAUCUUGCAAUUGCUCUGCACGGACGAUCCAGUUCACGUUCUGGC